UCAAAAUCAAGUUAAUGUCUUAACCUUACAAAAAAAUCAGAUUCUGUUCAUAUGCUCUUUUAUGCUAAAAAUAAAUUUUAGAUCUAAUUUAACCUUAGUCUAACAAGCAUAAGAAUUCCUUCACUUUGCUUGAGACAAAACCAUGAUGGGAAUAUGCAUCAAAAUCAGAUCAAGGUAAAUCGGAUAGCAGACAAGAAUUUUAUUUAGAGUUUGCAUUUUAACAAUGAUCAUCAUACUUUCUUUAAGGUAAUGGGAUUAAUAAUUUACUUGGAAUUUUAUCUCUGCUCUUAUUGCCUUGUGUGUAUUCCUUAUAUCUUGCUUCUCUCCUCCUUCCUUGCUCAUAGUCACAGAAUACUGCUUCUCCUGCCCAGUUCUCCUCCUUCCUCAUAUUGAAAAUUCCUCAUCCUCUCCCUCUGCUAAAAGCUUCAACUCCUCCUUCUCAUUAUUGCAUUGACUAUGGUUUUGUCUCUCUCCAUCACUGCUCCAAGAGGAUGAGCCACUUAACACUUUUCCUGUCACCAGUCACAACAAGUAGGGAAUAUUUUUUCAACGCAGUAAUUGCUUAAUGAUCUUUAGCUUGAGAUCAUCCACAGAGGCGACGACUUCACAACUUCAAGUGAAAACUAAAUGAAAAGAAACGGUGGUGACGUCAAUGGUGUUCUCUCUCCCGAUGAUAUGAAGCGGCUUCCUCUUCACUUGAUGGAUGCUAUUGCUCUCUCUCUCUCUCUCUCUCUCUCUCAUUUGUUCAUCUCCUUCAUCCUUGUCACUGCUCUCUUACUCUCUGUCUCUCUCUUUAACUCUCGCUUUGUUUUUCAUCCUCUCUUGCUCCAACUUCUUCUCCAUUUCUCUCUCUUUCCAACCUCCUAAAAUCUCUAUUGUUGCCCUUCUACUGUUGGUCUCUUCUCCUCUUUUCUCCCCAGCACAAGAAAAGCCCUCAGUUUAUCGUUGAAGCUAGGGAUUUUUACUGUCGUGCACCUCUCCCUCUUUUGCUCUUCUCCCUUUUUCUGCAUGUGGUUUGCUGUGUUCACUCCCUUUCUCUAUCUUUUUUUCACUUUUCUUUCCUCCCUCUAAUUUUGUGUCUAGCAUUUGUUUUCUGCUCCACUUCUCUCUACCUUCGUCCAUGUGUUUUUAUUCAACUCUUCUCACUUUUGCUCUGAGUUUUCGUUUAUUUUGAGUGCUGUGUAUGUGCUGCCUUUCUACUCUGUUUUUCUUUUCUUCUGUGUUUUGCUUUGCAUGUGGUUGAACGUUCAGGUCUGCUGUCUGCUCUACUCUUGGUUUCUUUUCUAUGUGCCUUUUAUGGAAGUUUGUGUCUUCUGCGUCGAGGAAAAUGCCUUUUACAGCUGCUCUCCAUAUCUCUCUCUUGUGUGUUUCGUGUGCAUGCUCUACUCUCCCUCCAAAAGACCUUCAUCUUUCAGCUUUUUUUUUUCUUUUAUGUGUGUGUCUGCUCUGGCCUGUGUUCUCUUUUUUUUUUUUUUCCUAUGCGUUUGGAUGAAGGACCGAGCUGAUGGUUAAACGCUAGAAAAUCCAUCGUUUAACCUUUGGUUUAUAAUUUUUUUAACCCUAGCUCACUUUUUUUUAGUUUUUAAUUAUGUUUAUUAUAUAUAUAUAUAUAUAUGCACAUAUAAGGGAGAUAAUCAGAUCUGCAAGAAUUUACAAUAACAAGCAUUUAUCCUAUUAGGUGGGGUUGGCUACAUGUAUUGCAAGAUGCCAUUGUGCUCUAUCAUUUACCAAACUUUUAGAAAUAUUAUUAAUUAAGAGAUCAUGUUCAACAACUUUCAAAAGUAUUUUCUUAGGCCUUCCUCUACCCCUCUUAACAGGACUCAACGUUAUAUGUUCUACUCUUUUCACUGGUGCCUUCCAUGAUCUUCUUUGUAUAUGCCCAAACCAUCUCAAAUAAUUUUCUACCAUUUUUUUCUUAAUAGGUGUUACCCUCACUUUUUUGCGUAUGUGCUCAUUUCAAAUUUUAUCUUUACGUGUAUGUCCGUACAUUCAUUGUAACGUUCUCAUCUCUGCCACUCCAACUUUAUGCUCUUGCUGUCCCGUUAGAGUCUAGCAUUCACUAUUAUAUAACAUAGCCGGUUUGAUAGCAGUACAAUAAAAUUUUCCUUUAAGUUUAUUAGGCACCUUACGAUCACAAAUAACUCAUUCAAUUUUUCUCUAAUUAAACCACCCAGCUUGAAUCCUAUAUGAAAUAUCUCCACUGAUUUCGCCAUCAUUUUGAAUAAUGGCUCCUAAAUAUCUAAACUUUUUCAUUUGAGGUAUAAUUUGAUCUCCUAAUUUUACUUCCAAAUUAUUGUCGACUAGUCUCUUACUAACUUUACAAUAUAAAUAUUCCGUCUUAUUUUUACUCAGACAGAAACCUUUCAACUCCAAUGUCGUCCUUUAUGAUUCAAGUUUACAAUUAAUCUCUUCUCUUAUCUUUGGUAUAAGAACUAUAUCAUUUGCAAAGAGCAUACAUUUGAGAAUUUCUCCUUGAAUAUGUUUCGUCAAAACUUUUAGGAUCAAGUUAAAUAGAUAAAGACUCAAAGAUGAUUCCUAAUGUAGUCCAAUCUUUAUAUAAAAGUCCUUUAUUUGACUAUUAGACGUUCUUAUACUAGUUUUUACCCCCUCAUACAUAUCUUAUAUAACUUUAAUAUAAGCAAUCCGUAUUCCCUUCUUUUCCAAGGCUUUCCAAAGAACUUUUCAGUAUACGGUCAUAAGCUUUUUCCAAAUCAAUAAAAAUCAUGUGUAAAUCUUUAUCUUUACAAUGAUACUUUUUCAUUAAUCCCCUUAGUAGAUAAAUCACCUCUGUAGUCGAUCUACCUGGCAUAAAACCAAACUAAUUUUCUGAAAUACUUGUCUCCAAUCUCAACCUAUGCUCAAUUACUUUCUCCUACAAUUUCAUUGUGUGGCUCAUAAGUUUAAUCCCUCUAUAGUUAGUAUAAUUCUGAAUAUCCCCUUUAUUUUUAUAAAUAGGAAUUAAUGUACUUCUCCUCUAGUUGUCAGGCAUUUUCUUCGACUGUAAAAUCACAUCUGCAAGAAUUUAAAAAUACUUAAUUUUUAAGAAGUUGAUUCUCAUAAUUUUUUGAUUGUUGAAAUAAUUUGAGAGAGAUUUUUCAAGAUUUAAGCAAGAUACAUAUUUUUGAUUUUGUUAGAUUAUUUUUUUUGAAAAUAUAAUCCUAAAAAGAACUAAAUUUUGUUUUUUUAUUUUUAUAUUUUUUUUGUUAUUUUAAUGAACUAGAAAAAUAAAAUCUUAACCAACAAAAGAUUAUCUAGGUUAAAAUAAAAUUAAACCCUCUUAAUUAAAAAUUUUUUAUUUUGAAAAUAUAAUCCUAAAAAGGAUUAAAUAUCAUUUUUAUAUUUUUAUAUUUUUUGGUUGAAUUUAUUAUUAUUUUUAUUAAAUUUAAAAAAAUGCUUGGACAAAAUACAGUGUUCACAAAGUCCAUUCCAUAGAUCUUUUUAUCUAUAUUCACACAAUUUCAAAUCCAUAUGAGCAAAUGGUUAGGGAUGCUAUUAGACCAUCAUUUAAUGGCCAUGACAUGAAUAAGGAUCCUAACACAAAUUCUGCAAAGUUCUAUGACAUGCUUCGUGCUUCACAAUCUCCGUUAUGGGAUGGGUUUGAAAAUCAUAUUGUAUUGUCAAUUGCUGUGAGAUUAUUGAGCAUCAAGUCUGAUUAUAACAUUCCACAAGUUUGUAUGGAUGAAAUUAUCAUAUUGAUAAAUGAGAUCUUGCGAAAAACCCAUCAUAUGCCUUUAAACUUUUAUCAAACCAAGAAAUUAGUUACCCAACCUGGUUGUGUUUAUCAAAAGAUUGAUUAUUAUAGUAAUAGGUGUAUGUUGUACUGUGGCAAUGCGAUAAAUGAGAGAAAGUGCCAAUUUUGUAAGAUUGCAAGAUUUAAGGAGGCAAGAAUUGGAAAAGGGAGGUUUAAGGAGAUCUCAACAAAACAAAUGUGGUACUUACCAUUAAUUCUAAAACUCUAAAGAUUAUUUACAUCUAAAGCCUCAACCAAAUAUAUGCGAUGGCAUUAUGAAAAUCAUUGAGAUGAAGGUGUCUUGUCCCAUCCAUCAGAUGGGGAAACAUGGAAGCAUUUUGAUCUAACACAUCCAAAAUUUGCAUUAAAGCCAAGAAAUGUUCGGUUAGGUCUUUAUUCUGAUGGCUUUAGUCUAUUCAACAUGAGUUCUAGGCCAUAUUCUUGUUGGCCUGUUAUUGUUACUCCUUACAACCUUCCACCUGGAAUGUGUACGUGAUGAGAAUAUAUGUUCUUGACAAUCAUAAUUCCUGGGCCAAGUAAUCCAAAAAGUCAAAUUGAUGUUUACUUACAAUCCUUAAUUGAUAAACUGAAGUUGCUUUGGGAAGAAGGUGUGCUGACGUAUGACAUAUCAUUACAAUAAAAUUUUAACUUACGAGCUACCCUUUUAUAGACCAUUAAUGAUUUUCUUGCAUAUAGUAUGUACUAGCAAACAGUAGGAAAACUGGGUUGUCCAAUUUGCAUGGAUCAAUUGAAGGAAUUUUAAUUGAAACAUGGGAUCAAACCUUGCUAUUUUGAUUGUCAUCGUCAAUUCCUUCCCUUAAAUCAUCCGUUUAGGAAAAAAUAAAAAGCGUUUUAGAAAGAACAAAAUAGAGAAUUCUGAACCACCAUCAAGAUAUUCAAGUGGUGAAUUAUUUGAGCAAGUUAGGAGAUUUGCUAAAAUAAUAGAAUCACCAUAUUUACAUCUCCCAGGAUAUGGCAAGGAGCAUAAUUGGACUAAGCGAAGCAUUUUUUGGGACCUUCCUUAUUGGUGUGACCUUUUAAAUUCCCAUAACAUAGAUGUAAUGUACAUAGAAGGAAAUGUAUUUCAUAAUAUGUUUAAUACUAUGAUGAAUGUGAAAGAUAAGAUGAAAGAUAAUGAGAAAGAUAAGUUAGAUUUUC
Prosopis cineraria is the source of this 4888-nucleotide long non-coding RNA. RefSeq lists it as uncharacterized. The transcript has 2 exons. The record is from RefSeq and is a predicted model, not a curated record. NCBI's taxonomy places the organism in Eukaryota, Viridiplantae, Streptophyta, Magnoliopsida, Fabales, Fabaceae.